UUUAAGACUCUCGGCAACGGAUAUCUCGGCUCUUACAUCGAUGAAGAACGUAGCGAAAUGCGAUACUUGGUGUGAAUUGCAGAAUCCCGUGAACCAUCGAGUCUUUGAACGCAAGUUGCGCCCGAGGCCUUUGGGUCGAGGGCACGCCUGCCUGGGCGUCACGC
Molecule: ribosomal RNA, 164 nt
Filed under: Gagea lutea
Lineage: Eukaryota; Viridiplantae; Streptophyta; Magnoliopsida; Liliales; Liliaceae
Also listed under: 30 other names
Description: 5.8S ribosomal RNA
Rfam family: 5.8S ribosomal RNA
About the family: 5.8S ribosomal RNA (5.8S rRNA) is a component of the large subunit of the eukaryotic ribosome. It is transcribed by RNA polymerase I as part of the 45S precursor that also contains 18S and 28S rRNA.
Source: RNAcentral